UACAGAGGCGGCAAGCGUUGUUCGGAAUUAUUGGGCGUAAAGAGCACGUAGGCGGCCUCGUAAGUCAGUUGUGAAAGCCUUCUGCUUAACGGAAGAACAGCAUCUGAUACUGCGAGGCUAGAGUGCGGGAGGGGAGAGUGGAACUUCUGGUGGAGCGGUGAAAUGCGUAGAUAUCAGAAGGAACACCGGCGGCGAAAGCGACUCUCUGGCCCGUAACUGACGCUGAGUGUGCGAAAGCUAGGGGAGCAAACGGG
Molecule: ribosomal RNA, 254 nt
Filed under: uncultured bacterium
Lineage: Bacteria
Description: partial 16S ribosomal RNA
Rfam family: Bacterial small subunit ribosomal RNA
Source: RNAcentral